Molecule: ribosomal RNA, 460 nt
Filed under: uncultured bacterium
Lineage: Bacteria
Description: partial 16S ribosomal RNA
Rfam family: Bacterial small subunit ribosomal RNA
Source: RNAcentral
CCUACGGGAGACAGCAGUGAGGAAUAUUGGUCAAUGGACGAGAGUCGGAACCAGCCAAGUAGCGUGAAGGAUGACUGCCCUAUGGGUUGUAAACUUCUGUUAUAAAGGUAUAAAACGAGGCACGUGUCCCGUUUUGUAUGUACCUUAUGAAUAAGGAUCGGCUAACUCCGUGCCAGCAGCCGCGGUAAUACGGAGGAUCCGAGCGUUAUCCGGGUUUAUUGGGUUUAAAGGGUGCGUAGGCGGCCUUUUAAGUCCGCGUUGAAAGUCUGUGGUUCAACCAUAGAAUUGCCGUUGAAACUGGGGGGCUUGAGUAUGUUUGAGGCAGGCGGAAGGCGUGGUGUAGCGGUGAAAUGCUUAGAUAUCACGCAGAACCCCGAUUGCGAAGGCAGCCUGCCAAGCCAUGACUGACGCUGAUGCACGAAAGCGUGGGGAUCAAACAGGAUUAGAUACCCUUGUAGUC